UUACCUCAAGACAUGCUGUACUCAAGGGCUCCAUGUUUUACUCUGACAGUGCUCCUCUUGAAAUCAGCCUUCAUUGAUUCUGAUAGCAGAUGAUAGUGCUGGAUGAUGUUGUUACAUGUAAUUAUGGAUUUGAAGUACAGAAUUACUUCAUGUAAUUAAUUUUCUCUUUUUUUCUGGUUUCCUCAGAAAGCCCAUGCUCUAGAAAUAUGAUGCCAAACUCUUUCAUCAUGAAAGUGGCAUAGUUUAGCUACAGCCUAGGCUCUGGGAAAUCACUGGUUAUUGUAUUCCGCUGUCCUCAAUCAAGAAGAGCAACACCUUUACUACAAAACUGGUCACACUGGAACAAAUAAGGGUGAUACUAUGCAUUUCUUACAAAUUCUGGUCUGGAGAUGAGGACCUGCAUUUGUUAAGGGGAACAGAUACUGGCUUGUAUUUCAAUGCUGAGUAGAGAAGAGGUUGCUUGGUUUAGAAGGAGGAAGUUCGUGGACAGUGUGAACUGAUCAGUUCAUCGGCUAGAAUAGUGUAGUGAGGAUGUUUCUGUACUCCUGAGUGGUUUUUGAAUCUCCCUCUGGCCAUGCAGUGUUGCCAUUAAAGCUGUAGCGUAACCUCUGCUUGUCAUGUCUGAGCUCCCUCUGGUGUGGAGAGAACAGGUACUGCUUGCACAGAUGUGAACAAAAGACGACUUGAGGGGUAAUUUUAAUUUUGUUGGUGCUUAUUCAAAUGUUAUUCAUUCUGGUCAUACUGGCUGUGUGCACAAAUCCUAGUUAGGACUGCUGGCUCGCAAACGUACAAGUAUUAGGGUUAGUGAACAUUGUUUUGCUUCCAGGGAUGCCCAAGGAUGUUAGGAGAGGUGGCCAAGGCCAUGGAGAAUUUGAUACGCAAAAUAUACAGAGACCUGAUCUCACAUUAAUCAUAACAACCACAAGCAACCUGACGCUUUACUGUUAUACAGUAGGAACCUGGCAGCAACCUUUGUGAUUCACAAGUAAUCUGUCAUAAGCCCCUAUUUUAUACUGCUCGUAACCAUUAGGUCUUAAAGAGUGUGUUUGCCCCGGACUGAAUAUUUUCAACUCAAUUAUCGUCAUAAGUGUUAACUAGAAAUUACUGUGCCAUAAUCACAUCUGGGAUACAAAAUUUUGUUGAAAUAGGUUUGGGGGAAUAAUUGCUGGAAAUUCACCAUUCUUUCCACAGUAUUUAUUUGUUGUGAAAUUCAUCCGUUUUGAUGACAUUCCAAGAGCUGUAUAAUCCUUAGGGCGCUAAUUUGCAAGUGUGGUAUGCCAUAGACUAAAGAUUUUCUGUACCAAAUCUGAACAGAAGCUUUGUUUGAUAUUUUUUUCUUUUUCUUUCUUUUUUUUUUUUUUUUUUGGACAGCCUAGUAUUUCAGGUUUAGCAUAGUGGCAUUGCAAAUGUUAAUGUACCUCAACUGGUAUUUACAGCACUGCUCAGCAGUGUAAUUCAUCAUAUAAGCAUAGAAUUCUACCUUUGAGAAAAAAAAAAAAAAGAGUAUAAGUGCUUAGAUCACAUACACUCCAACAGAAAUAGGACAUCCAUGUAAUAAUAGAAAAAAAGAUGUGUGAAUUCAUCCUAAGGAUAAGUGGGUACAGCUCUAUUGAAGCGAGUGGUCUUUUCAUAUAAGUGGAGUUGCACAUGUUUUCUCCGGGGAUCAGUUCAGUCCACUUUGCCUUUGUAGUCUGUGCUGAAAUUCUUCAAGAUAGGAAAAAACUUGUGGAGUAUUUGCAUGUACUAAGUGCCUGGCAUAGAUCAGAGUCUUUAUUUUUCACUUUUGCUAGCAGUACAAUCACUUAAAAUUAAAGAAAAAAAAUAAAACAAGUAAUUAAUCCUGUACGAAUGUUCAAACAUUCUGUUACUAAGAGUUAUAUUCUCCCCCCAGACUUAGGACUUCCUCUGUGCACGGUCCAAGAAGGCUAGUAAAAGUCCUUUCCAGGAAAAUACAAUUUUCAAGUACUGUGAUUGUGCUAUGAUACUCGCUCUACCUGAAUCUUUUUAGAUAACAGGCAUCAUGCUGUCUUUGGUUUAUUUAUCUGUGAUCGAAGAGCAGGGGAACUAGGAGAAGCAGUCAAGGAACAUAUUAAGGGGGUACGCACUGUUUGUGGUAGUAAGAUCAAGCAGAACUUGUGAGGAGAUGAAUUUUCUUCAUCUAGAAAUUCAGCUGUGCUCAAAAUAAGAUUCACCCUCACAAAGGGGAAAGAACAAUCUGGAAAAUCUCUCUCCUCCUCACCCCCUUGAAAGGGCAGCCUGAUAUUGGUUUAAAGGUAUGAGCUGGGACUCUGGAUAUUUUUCCAAGGUCUUUUGCAGGCCAGUCUAAGAUCAUCCUGUCCACAGUCCAAGCUGGCUAGCAUCCAGCCAGCUCCCAUCCCAAAUCUGCGUAGCUCUAUUAGUGCAGAGCUGUGUCCACUCCAUUAAAUCUUCCGAGAGUCCCUAAGCCUCGUUUGCAAAAAUCUGGAUAGACAUUCCCCAGAAUUAGUUCAAUAUCCAGCACUGGCACCAUUUCACUGUGAAACCUUGGAAAAAGUGCCUCGAGCCAGAUUUUAAACACGCAGAGCCAUCCCAGAGCCCACUGUUAAAAUGCCACUGAUCUUUUAAGAGACACUGCUCAGUUGCAAUCUCUGUUUUUGCCAGAGGGUAUAUAUAAAGCCACUCAAACUUUGACACUGCCUCUCAGGGAGGCUGUGGAUGUACUUGUGCAUUAACCCAUAAGUACAGGCACUCUCUUUCUGAUCCGGUAGAGAAGUAGUUAUUUAUACAAACUGACACGACACAAUUAGGAUCAAUCAUCCUCAGGAUACCCAGUGCCUCAGUGGCUGGGAUAUUUCCUGAGCUGUGGGAAAGGUGUCCUCUAGAUGUUACAAAUUUGAUAGAAACAAUCAAAAUAAAAUCUUUAACUGCCCUGAGGGUUGCUUUGGUGAUAAAGUUAGUGCCUGGUGAGAUGUCUAAUGCUCUCCCAUCCACUUUAUUACAGAUAGGAAGUGCAAAGUUCAGCUGCCAGGAUCCUCAGGAGGGACAUCCUACCUGGGCUGACAGAAGUGCUUGUUUUCCACCUCACAGGUUUCUCAAAUGGUGGGUCAGCUUUGCUUGUGUUUAUUAUUCUGAAAGCAACCAUAAGGGGCAGCAAAGCCCAAAGGGAUGAAGAAACGUGGUGAAUUCUGCUAUGAUUUACAUGGAACUCUGUAAGACAGAGGUGCAGAGUUUUAUGCAGUCAGGUAUGCGUGGGUUUUAAGGAGAUGAAGAAACCUUUGAAAUGACCCGCUUUUGUGAAAUUUGGCUUUUCUUUCCUGUGGUGGCCUUUGUCCUGAAGAGCAAGACAUUUCACAGCGAAUAGCAGGGACAUAUUGAAGAGGAGAUGGGAUGAAGAAGCAGCCAGAUUUUUCCUUCAGCCUCGCUGGAAAGCAGCUAUGAAAGGAGAAACAAAGGCUGUGGCUGGCCACACCUCGUGAGGACGGCAGCACCAAAGGGGCCGUGGCAAGCUCCAGCUCUCCCCUCCCUACACCAGGCACUGGUGCAGAGCGCGGCUUGCCCGGCUCGGGCAUUGUAAUUCUGCUACUGCCGCGCGUGCCAUCAGAAUUCAGCUGUCAUAUUCUGCGAGCUGGAAUUCAUCAAAGCAUACUCACCGGCCUUUUAAUUAGUGUUAGAUUAGCAUUUUAAGAUAUGGGUAAAUUCCCAAGUCUAACUUCGUUUAAAGGUGCAUAUUCAAUACAGUAGCCAGGAAAUCAUGUAUUCUCAUGGACUUACUACCUUAGUAAUGUAAUGCUGUGAGGGAAAGAGGCAGAUAAUACUUCCGACAAAUAUUAAAUGCUAUUUGUAUAGCUACUGCCUGUGAAUUUAAACAGAAAAUCAUUCCUCACGCCUUGCUAUGAAACACACGCAAAUUUCUUUUGUGGCUUUCAUGUUUCAUUAAAGCUUUGUAUGUGGAAGAGAGGAAAAUCUAAAUUGCUACUUAAUUAAAGGGAUACUGUCAGAUUAAGUAUAUUUUGAGGAAAUGAACUUUGCUUUUUACCUGGGAUGUCAGUAACACCUAGGAUUAUUAAAAAUGAAAUAUUUUUUAAUAUCUAAUAUACUUACCAUUUAUCAACCUGAGUCUGUUCUUCUCUUUGGCUGAAACUGAAACAGUCUCUUGCUUUUCCCUGUAGUCAGGUUCAUUGUCUGGAUCCUAUUAACUAACUCAAUAUUGGAGAUUGUAAAUACCAGGAGGUGCAGCUUACAUCUAAACCAAAAAUAAAAAAUAAAAUAAAAUAAAUGUAUGGCUCUUGCUUUAUUCCAUUAAAAUAUUUCUCUGGACCCAAACAUCAUGUAAUAUAUGCUCCUUUAAUCACAUUUUGAUCACCACACAGCAUGUGGAGUGUGGGUUAAAUUCUGGAGAAUGCUGAGCAGGGUUUUGUGUGAACUUUCCACUCUCUCUGAAGGCAGAAGGUGCUAGGGUCGCUCACCAGCAACGGAAAGGGGUCCGAGAGCUAUGCUGCAAGGUGCGGAUGUGUAAGAGCCCAGUCCCACUC
Long non-coding RNA from Cygnus olor (mute swan), 4511 nucleotides. RefSeq lists it as uncharacterized. NCBI's taxonomy places the organism in Eukaryota, Metazoa, Chordata, Aves, Anseriformes, Anatidae. The record is from RefSeq and is a predicted model, not a curated record. The transcript has 3 exons.